Molecule: ribosomal RNA, 546 nt
Filed under: uncultured bacterium
Lineage: Bacteria
Description: bacterial SSU rRNA
Rfam family: Bacterial small subunit ribosomal RNA
Source: RNAcentral
AGGGUUUGAUUCUGGCUCAGGAUGAACGCUGGCGGCAUGCCUAAUACAUGCAAGUCGAACGAACUACCUCUAUGACCUUGAAAGUGCUUGCACUGGAUUGUGAUUAGAAUUUGUAGUUAGUGGCGGACGGGUGAGUAACACGUGGGUUACCUGCCACACAGAAUGGAAUAACUAUUGGAAACGAUAGCUAAUACCGUAUAUGACCUUCGGGUUGAAAGGGGCGUUUGCCUCGCUGUGUGAUGGGCCUGCGGCGCAUUAGCUAGUUGGUAAGGUAAAGGCUUACCAAGGCGACGAUGCGUAGCCGGACUGAGAGGUCGAUCGGCCACAUUGGGACUGAGACACGGCCCAAACUUCUACGAGAGGCAGCAGUAGGGAAUUUUCCGCAAUGGACGAAAGUCUGACGGAGCAAUGCCGCGUGAGUGAUGAAGGUUUUCGAAUCGUAAAGCUCUGUUGUAAGGGAAGAACAGCACUAGUAGGAAAUGGCUAGUGUGUGGCGGUACCUUACCAGAAAGCCACGGCCAACUACGUGCCAGCAGCCGCGGUAAU